Molecule: long non-coding RNA, 1560 nt
Organism: Oreochromis niloticus (Nile tilapia)
Lineage: Eukaryota; Metazoa; Chordata; Actinopteri; Cichliformes; Cichlidae
Source: Ensembl
UUCUCUUUUGCUCCUUUGCAGUUAAACAACAAACAACAAACUGAUCUGGAUGAUUUUACUUUAAAAAUAUUUUAAAGAUUGUUGAAAGAUUUAAAAAAAAUUGACAAUAGUAUGGGUGAUGAAAUUAUGCUAAUUCAAAAGGAUUAGAACCCAGUUUUAUCCCCAAAAUAAACAAAAUAGUGCUGAAAAUGUUGAUAACCUGUGAGUUUUGGAUUGUUGUUCAGAGUUAUUUCUUUAACAAAGAAUAAAAAAAAAAAUCAGUUCGCCAGAUAAAUCUCUAGGUUAAAGAAAACAACUUUAAUUGUUAGUGUAGUUAAUCAAAUGACCAGUAGUCGGUGCUAUCACCGUGAAAUCAAUAUUUAUUGACCGCCUCUUUUAGGCGAAGAAGAUAAUGAUGCUGCUGCUUCUGUUGUUCAGCUAGCGGUAAUAGACACGGCGUAAGUGACAUUAACCUGUCAGUACAAGUCAGCUACAGGAAACAUGGAUUUGGUCAAAAACAGAACUUUGCACCCACAUCUCCGCGAUGACGAGGCUCUGGUGGUGGAAAACGCCAUCCGUCUGGCCAUAGACUCUGUGAUAAACGUUUUGUACGGCGUAAACAGCGCCAAGAAUUACGAGUAUGAGCGGAUGGUGGCCGACAGGGACAAAGAGAUCCAGCGCCUGGAGUGCAGACUGACAGAGAUGGAGCACGAGCUGCAGGUGCUGCGCCGGCAGGGAUGCAUUUGCGGGCUGUUAAAGAACGAGCACAGCCUCGGCAGGUCCCGGAGCUCCGGUGACCGGCAGAAGGGAGUUCAGAGCGGCUUUGAUCCGGGAUGCGUUGACACCGAGCUGACAGCGGAGCAGCAGGACUGUGAGACGAGUUUAUCGUUGGGUCUUUUCGCAAGACCCCCCUCACACGUUUCCUCCCACAGCCAGGAGUCAGCUCUUCCAUCUUCCCCCAGCAGAAUGGUCCUGGAGCACACCUGCACCUCCCGCUCCUCCGAGGUUUCGGGUGUAACGGAGGCCGCCAGAAAUAUGCCGACAUCUCCCAGCAGCCUCGUGGUCAAAGAAGAGCCAUGUGACGUCGACACGGUCUUAAUCAAGUGGGAAAUGAGUGAACAUCAGCAGAGCACGGGCAGUCCGUGUCAGGACAAAGAGAGUCUCAGUGCAAAAAAAAAAAUGGAGACUGGAGAAGGAAGGACGUUCAGGGAGAAACCACAGGCAGACCCGGGUGGAGUCGUAAUGACUGAGGCAGAGCACACGAGGAACAAGAAGAAGAGCGUGCCAAUGUCGGAGCUGCCAGAGGAAGCUCAGAGACUGAAGAGGGCAGCCUGGAGAGCAGCUUCCAGACGAUAUUAUGCUCGAAAGAUAGCUCGCCAGCAGGCAAACCCAUCACAAUCCAGCCCCUUCCCCCACAUCGCAAACUCUCAGAAUUCACAGCCCAGCUCUUUUGUGGAUAAGAGGAGGAGGACACUGAUAUCGGAGCUACCUGAAGAGUCUCAGACGCUGCAGAGAGAAGCUUGGAGAGCCGCAUCCAGGAGGAAUUUUUGGUGGAGUCAUCCAGUGUCAGACUGUUUUUGA